CUAAGGAUGGUUCUUCAGAAGCUUGCUUCUAUCGAACCGUUUUAGAAACAUCAGUGGCCAACGGUCGUCAGGAUCGUUGAGCUGCAUUGGCGGGAUUUCGCCGUCUUCGUUUCUCUUUCUUCGCGGACGAACACGCGCUGGGGCUGCAACCUUGCAGAAUCCCUGGUCCUUGACUGGAUAUGCGUUAGGGGCUUGUAGCUCAGUUGGUUAGAGCGCGCGCUUGAUAAGCGUGAGGUCGGAAGUUCAAGUCUUCCCAGGCCCACCACACUCAUCGAGUGAGCAUUCGUCUUCUGGUUACGGGGCCAUAGCUCAGCUGGGAGAGCGCGUGCUUUGCAAGCAUGAGGUCGUCGGUUCGAUCCCGUCUGGCUCCACCAGAUGGAUUGAUCACCGACUACUCAUACCGUCGUCCGCGAAACAUCACUUCGCACUUACUAGUCCGGAUGGACAGUAAGCUGCGUGAUUUCUGACAUCGUAWAGAGGAGAUCGAUCCGAGUUGGAUCGGGCAACAAGUAAUUGUUGCGCGAUACUCCAUUAUCUCCGGAUCAUUUCGGCGCUCGUGCGUCUUUUAGCGUAGCUCACAAGGCUGCAUUGAAAGACAAGCGAGUUGUAAAUGAUCCUUUUAGCGAAGCUUGACCGCCUCGCUAUCGGAACGAUCUUACGAAGCAAGCUGGUCUUUCUAAUCAUUGUCCGGCUGCAGAUAGCGUUCAUCGAGGGCGCGUGCCGCAAGGCAGUUCUGCAGACAACAUUCUGCCGAGUGUGUGGACAUUGAUAAUGAGAGC
This 779-nucleotide transfer RNA is filed under the name Bradyrhizobium japonicum. Its description in RNAcentral is "16S-23S ribosomal RNA intergenic spacer". The stretch from base 189 to 262 matches the Rfam family "tRNA". The record is from RNAcentral. Lineage: Bacteria; Pseudomonadati; Pseudomonadota; Alphaproteobacteria; Hyphomicrobiales; Nitrobacteraceae.